Molecule: unclassified non-coding RNA, 214 nt
Filed under: Hevea brasiliensis (rubber tree)
Lineage: Eukaryota; Viridiplantae; Streptophyta; Magnoliopsida; Malpighiales; Euphorbiaceae
Source: RNAcentral
GAGAUCUAGCUUACCCGAAUAAGCUGGCAAAUGCGAAAGCACUUGGAAGAAAGAAAGAUGGGUUCAGGCCAUGAAGAAGGGCUAAAGGUGGAAAAGAAAGGUGUAGCUGGGCAUAUCCAUGUUUGGGCACUUCACAUGAUGGGUCUUCCUCUUGCAAUCGAGAGAGGCAAAUAGGCGGAAAUCGGUACACUUUUAGUACGGUGGUAUGCGAGCA